AGAGGAGGCAAGGCAAGGAGAUUAAAUUCGUCAAAUUUUACACAAGUAUAAUUUUUAUACGGAGAGCCAUUUGAGCAUUUAUUCAAUACUACUGAUAUCAUAAUAGUUGACAUGCUGACUGAUGAAAUCCUUCCAUUUAACAAGUAAAUGUGCAGGAGACAACAUGACUCCAACACUAGGUGGGGCUAUUUCACAAUUUUUCAUUUCAAACACCUCUCCUGUGCAGGACGGUUGCAGCCAUGAGUGGGUGUGACGAGAGGGAGGUAAGAAAAAAAUAACUGAUGGUUUGGAGCACAGAAGUUUUACACAGAGAAGUUUUUACUGAAAAAUAAGCUUGUUGUAUGUCAGACAGAUUUUUGAAAUGUGAAAAUAAGAAGUAUGUAUGAAUUUUAAGGUAAUUUGUGUGUUUGUUUUGUGUGCACUAUAUCCACUGCCCACAAAUGUGUCAUGUUUCCAUGUAACCCUACGGCCCUUUUUUUGCUGUCACUGUAAGUUUUUCUCCAACGUUUCUCCUGUCAUUACAGCUCACUCUUAUGGUGCUGAUUUAUAUCCAAGAGUUCAUUUUACAGAUCAAUAUUCAGACAUUCAAGCUCACAGUGGGUGAAAAUGAAGAGUCAUCGUCUGCUCUAUAUACAGUUAAUCUUGCUGAUCACAUUACUAAAGAAAAUUAAUCACAGUGUUUAAGUCACAACUUGACUGAAAAAUUGUGUAACAGGUCAGGAUCUGAUAUCGAUGACAUGAUACUAUGAUACACUUAAAUGCUUUCUCUUGCUCAACAUUGAGGUCCUGUUGUAUCACAACCCAGUAAUGAAGAUGGUUAGCUCACAAAAAGAUGCUCCUGCAACACCAACUGGAAAUAAACUAAUAAAUAUAUUUUAAUGAGGAUUUAAAGAGUAUCAGUGAUAGAAGUAAAUGUGAGUCAGUCAAAGAAAUACAAACAAACAUUUCUCAAAUUUUCUCAAAGAACUAAAAGUUUGCUUCCCAGAAUUAAAACAUUCUCUCAUCACAAAGUGAAGUUGGUUUUGACUCAAUGGGGAAUUCCCUCACUGUGGCUGUCUCAUCAUACAGAAGAAACCACAUUGGGUUUUUUUUUUAACUAUAUUUGAUUUUUGCCAAAAAUAACCAAAAAAAAACUUCUAUAAGGAAAAUUACAUCUUUGGGGAUCAAUAAAUUUUUUCUUAUAUAAUCGACUUGAGGCCUUUUGACAUCAGUGUUCAUCUUAGCAGCAGUCUUUAGUGUUAAAAAACAACAGCUUCUCAAAUGUCAGUUUGGAGACACCAUUUAACAUUUAUGUUAAAAUGUCUUUACAGCAGAAAUUAACACAUUCACAGUCUGGUUUAAUCUUUUUUUUCAUUGGCUGAGUGGUUGUUGUCUUUAUUUAAUUAUUAAGAUAUUAAGCCCAAGAGUCAUUUGCAUAACUUGGGGCGCAGCAGUGUUGACUUAAGGUAAAGAUUGAGAGGUGAGGCCAAAAGUUUCAGAAGUGAGAGAAUGAUCCCAGUAAAUGUUACCAGUAAGACAAAGUAAAAGAGAAGUGGAAAGUAAAAAAACACCUCAAGCGAAGGAAACUUUGUUUUGUAACAUCAUCAUCCUUCCUUUAUCAGCAUAGGAGGUUGGAGUGAUAUUUCACUGUUGCAGAGUUUCCUUCUCACUUUGUGGCAUUUAAUGUACCGCACUAGAAAAGUUCAGCAGAAAACUCUUUAGUGGUUCAUUUUUUAUUGCCCACAGCUCACAAUGGUUCCCCUGCGUCACAAUCAUCUCUUCCUGAGAAUUCGAAGUUUUUGGUGUGGCUUUGUUGACUUCAUGUUUGGGAAUAAAUUAGAAGGGAAACAGUGAGAUAGAGAGCGUUUUCAGAUUGUUGUUUCAUUAUAACAGAACCAAUUCAGUUUUAGUGUGAGGUGAUUAUAAGUGCUGUAAAUGGAUCCCAGGGGAACUUUGAGGAAAACUACAGCCUUGCACUUUAAAACAUUGCCUCUAAAACUAAUGGCUGAUCUGAAACAAAGAAAUUAGGUAUGAGAUCUCUAAUCUUAUUCAAGUUUGAGUCGAACCAUAAAAGCAAACAUUUACACCCCUACAGUGCAUGCUUUCAAGGUGUGUGCUCCUGAUAGAGGAUCUACAAAAUUACAUAACUGAGAGAAGUGGUGGCGAAAUCCAUCAUCAUAAAUGUCAUCCUGUUUGAGGGGCUCACAGCGUGAGAUGAUACCAUACCAGUCAGAGCCUGUUUAGACAAAGACUGCAGCCAGACGAAGCCAAAAUAAAUGCAGACAGAGAAACAUCUUCAGAUUUCAUUAUGCUUGAAAUGUACCAAACAAGGUAAAUGAAAACAGGCGUAGCCCAUUGUGUCUGGAUUCAAGGUGCUUGUUUGACGUACGCCUGACUGGGAAAACCCUGUUUCAGUUUCCACUUAGCCAUAAUGGUGCUUGUGAAAUCCUGCUCUUGGCUCUACACUAAACUUCUCUGAUUUGAGGUGCUUUUAUAUGCAACUUAAAAACAGUUUUUACUAGAGCAUAAUUAUAGUGAAACAGUGAAAUUAUAACAAGAGUUAUAAUUGAAGGACGACUAAUAAGAGUACAUGUGGUGCUCAAAGAAGUUUAAUUUGUGGUUUUAAUACUUCAUUACAGGCUAUCACAUUUCACUUCACGACUAGAAAAACUAAUGUGGCGUGCAAACCUAUCUACUGUGAGAUCCCAUCUGAGAUAAAUAGAUUUUUAUAGCAGCUACACAGCCACUUAUUCUUACUUCCUCCCCAUCUUUUAAGACACUGAGGGGUUUUUUAUUCGUGUUUUGAGAUAGCCUCAGGCUGAUCUUAUUCUUCGGGACAGCUAUGGAAGAGCCAGUUUUCUUGUCAUUGCAUGGUUGGGUGUUUGAGUCCAUGUCCUGCUGUCCACUUCCUUCAUACUCAGUUGUUCAUUUUCAGUCAUAAUCAACCAGUAAGGUCAAGCCUUAUGAAGUAGUUUAGUUAGAUUCAGCAGAGGAUGUUCACAGCGUAACCUGACUAUUGCAUGAACUCUUGACCUCAGUAAAUUGAUUUCUGCGAAAAUGGAGGGCAUGUGCUGCAAUCGAAGCCAUCCAGUGAAAGUGUUUUGUGUUAUACACUUUGCAACCUAAUAGAAAAAGACAGGGCUGUGUCUUGAUAUUGUAAGACAGCUAUCUUGCUCUUUCAUGAUUACAAAUAUAUCGGCUCACCUGUAAGGCUGCAGAGGGGACACCAUAGUCAGGCGGUGCAAUGCCAGUAGAUUAUUUGGUAGAAAAAAGAGUUGCACUUGACCCUGAUCAAGUCAACAGACUUAAGUUCUCCAGCUGUUUGUGUUGCCCACAGGCUGUUGGUUUAAAACAAAUAGAGUAGUGGUUUCAGUAAAAAGCUAUUUAAAUUCUCUACUGAAGUAUGCAAUUUAACAUAUUCAAAACAAGUAUGAGUAUUCAUUCGAACAGCCCUAUUCUGCAUCCUAUGAAAAGUUGUCUUAAAUAAAGAAAAAAGUAUUAGAGGUCUGUUUUCUGUUCAUUUGCUUUCAAAGUAAAUGUAUGCAUUAGUGAAAACCAUAGACUGUAUAUACUAUGGACAACUUGGUUUUGCUUCUGUCAUUAUAUGAACUUGAAGCCAAAUCGCUCUCGGUAUUUCCGGGAUUUUUUCCACUUCCCCGCCAAGUGCAGUAGCAUUGUACGCAUUCGGUGGGAGAGUUGCUGUGAUGACACUCUGCUCAAACAGCAUAUGUUUGUAAAAAAUUGUGUGUAUGUGUGUGCCUACAGGCAGGCCACUGAACUUGGAAGCAGGCCAGGUCAGCAGUAAAAGGGUUUAAUUAAUUUAUGUCUGUUGCCGUGGCAACACGUAGCUGGUGCGGCCGUAAGUAGAGCUAAUAUGGAGUUUUUAUAACCAUAACAAAUAUCCUUCUGUAAAAUCUAUUUCAGUAGGCUAUGAAGCACCUGUCAAAUUACUUCUGGCAUAUCCGCGUCAAUGUAUAUUGGCCUAGUCUGAAUGGAGUCAAAGGCCUGAAUUAUGGUCCCAGUCCACCCCUGCCCCCGGGUAAAUGACGCAAUCUUCUUACGCCCAUAGGCUGAAUCAAGUGUCAAUCACAGAAAACAUGAAACCCCCUAAUAACUUUUAAAAAUGGAGCUGCACAUAAAAAGAGGACUUUAACACAAACCAGUCCUACAAUAACUCCAUGUCAACAUCGCAACCAGGGGCACAAAAAUUUUAUGUUCUGAGUAAUAAAUUUCUAAAGUUUGUUCACUACUCCAUGUGGGGAGGUAGGAUUUAUGACCUAUACUGCAGCCUGUCACCAGAGGGUGCUGUUUUCAGGGUGGGCUUCACCCAGCAAGGAGGCAGAUCGCGUCCACUCUAUAUACAGUCUAUGGUGAAAACCCUAUUUAACAGUGAGUGAUGACGCUCAUGCUUAUGCAGUCUUUACCCUUGAAAAACCAGUCGAAUCUCUUCAAAAGUGGUCACCAGAAUCAACAGUGCCGAAUUCCGAAUUUCCUGAAUUCUGUGAUACUUUUUAGAAAGGGCUUUUUCAAAAGCUGGUGCCCUUAAAAGGUCACGCACUUGAUGCCUUAUCGGAGCGAUCAAACAGCAGGACAUCACAAGAGAGUCUGUUUAUGGAAAGAUUAAAGGAGCAUUCAAGUAACUCACAGACUGUGACUUCUUUCAUUGCAAAACUUCAGGUAAACAGAAAGCAUGUUGCCACAGCUAUAGUGUUACAUCACUUCAUUCUUGGGUAUCGGGAACUUCAAAAUCCCCAGAAGUAUUUCCAUCAGUAUUUGCCCUCCUCUGUGUGUGCUGUGUGAGCUCAAAACCUGUUUUUCAUUUAAGGAUUUGUGGAUGUGAUAACAAAGCAGAAGGAAUGAGCAGGAAGACCUCAGCGGAAGAAAAGCCAACUUGAUAUGGAUAUCUUAAAACAUGUGCUGCCUGAUUAAAUGAUCCAGUGAUUAUCAUUGCUGUAAUUUAAACAGGCCCUGAUAUCCAUCAAAGAAAGAAAACACACAGAAGAAAUGCUCGACUAAACAGAAAAAAUAUGAGCGAGCAUGGAAAUGAUUCUUAGUCACUUCCUUUUUCUCUCUCUCUUUCUUGUCUGCCGUUAUCCUGCCCUCAGGUUCAGUUCCUUCAAUGAACUGGUAUCGGUAUUUACAGUGCUGGCUGGACCGCAUAUUAUACUAUUGCAAAAUCCACCCCCUCAUCACAUGAACCCCUUACAUGACUGAUCCAGAUUUGACAUGGUUGUGGUUUUUUGACACUCUACAGAUUGGAGUUUCCUUUCCAUCACUGCCAGGAAGACUCUAAUUUCUAUUUGGAAUGAGCGUCAAAAGCAGCAGAAACCAGAUCUCCCUCAGCUCCAUAUGUGUUGUAAUCUUGGUGAAAGCAAU
Non-coding RNA from Xyrichtys novacula (pearly razorfish), 5355 nucleotides. NCBI's taxonomy places the organism in Eukaryota, Metazoa, Chordata, Actinopteri, Labriformes, Labridae. The record is from the annotation of a GenBank genome assembly.